GGCUGAAAAGCGUAGUCGAUGGCAAACGGGUUAAUAUUCCCGUACCCGCGAUAGUUUCGAUGGGGUAACGCAGUAUUGAAAGUUCCCCGCACUUACGGAAUAGUGCGGUUAACCUUGUAGCUAUAGGUUUUGCAGGCAAAUCCGCAAGACUUGGCAAAGAGGGAAAGUACACCAAAGCUUCGGCUGCGGUGAGUGAAGUUAAAAGCUGCCGAGAAAAACCUCUAAGGUUAGGCUACAGCGGCCCGUACCGCAAACCGACACAGGUGUCCGAGUGUCAAUGCACUAAGGCG
This 290-nucleotide ribosomal RNA is filed under the name Chloropicon mariensis. RNAcentral's name for it is "partial Bacterial large subunit ribosomal RNA". It matches the Rfam family "Bacterial large subunit ribosomal RNA", at positions 1400 to 1688 of the family's 2925-position model. The record is from RNAcentral. Lineage: Eukaryota; Viridiplantae; Chlorophyta; Chloropicophyceae; Chloropicales; Chloropicaceae.